AACGAACGCUGGCGGCAUGCCUAACACAUGCAAGUCGAACGAGAUCUUCGGGUCUAGUGGCGCACGGGUGCGUAACGCGUGGGAAUCUGCCCUUUGGUUCGGAAUAACAGUUGGAAACGACUGCUAAUACCGGAUGAUGACGAAAGUCCAAAGAUUUAUCGCCAGAGGAUGAGCCCGCGCAGGAUUAGCUAGUUGGUGUGGUAAAGGCGCACCAAGGCGACGAUCCUUAGCUGGUCUGAGAGGAUGAUCAGCCACACUGGGACUGAGACACGGCCCAGACUCCUACGGGAGGCAGCAGUGGGGAAUAUUGGACAAUGGGCGAAAGCCCGAUCCAGCAAUGCCGCGUGAGUGAUGAAGGCCUUAGGGUUGUAAAGCUCUUUUACCCGGGAUGAUAAUGACAGUACCGGGAGAAUAAGCUCCGGCUAACUCCGUGCCAGCAGCCGCUGUAA
Molecule: ribosomal RNA, 449 nt
Filed under: uncultured bacterium
Lineage: Bacteria
Description: partial 16S ribosomal RNA
Rfam family: Bacterial small subunit ribosomal RNA
Source: RNAcentral